CAUGGCGGGUGGGUGAAAGACCCGAGCUAACAUGGGGUUAGUUCGUUAAAUUACAAUAAAGCCUCGUGCAGUUUGCAGCAAGCUCUCGAAUCCGCCUGGUGAUUGGGGUGACCGCGAACCUGGCCUGAGACCCCGGAUACUUGAGUUUUCGGGGGUCUAACAUUUUGGGGGCUCGUCCGGGAUUUGCGACCACCCUUCACCUGAGUGGAUUCGAUCUUGGAGGUAAGAUGAUUAGAGCUCGCAAUUUAUUGCCCAUGCACGUGGCAUGCAUGGGUCAGGGG
Molecule: long non-coding RNA, 281 nt
Filed under: Cricetulus griseus (Chinese hamster)
Lineage: Eukaryota; Metazoa; Chordata; Mammalia; Rodentia; Cricetidae
Description: lncRNA (ENSCGRG00015035607.1)
Source: RNAcentral